Molecule: long non-coding RNA, 6477 nt
Organism: Apis cerana (Asiatic honeybee)
Lineage: Eukaryota; Metazoa; Arthropoda; Insecta; Hymenoptera; Apidae
Source: RefSeq, a predicted model, not a curated record
AUUCCUCUCCCUUUCUAUCCUUCGUUUCGAUCGUACAGUUCGAUUGGUAUACUUUUAUCGUUUGAUUCGAUUGAUCGAAAUGAAAGAUCUUUCUUUUUUUCUUAUCUCGACGAGAGAUGCUCGAUUUUACGCACGAUUUGGUUAUAUAGUUUUUCUAUAGAUUUUAGUGAAGAGCACUUAACCUAUCUUUAACUUAGUUUGGCGUGAAUGAAGUUACGAGAAAUUUAACCUCUUCGAGGGACACUAUAAGCAUCGGAAGACAUCUCUUAUAUAUACCUAAUAGUUUCAAAGUAGUGAUUGUCGAGUAAAAUGGAAUAUUAUCGAGUGUUUCGAGUUUUUAAUUUUUUUUCUUUCUCUUUACUUUUACUUUUUUAAUUUUAAUUUGAUUUGAAGAAACUAAACAUAUGUGCAGUGUGGUUAAAACGGUGGAAUUAGAAGAUACAACUUUUCAUGGACAAUCAAAAGCAAGAUUUAAAAUUUUAUAGGGAUCCAUUGUAAAAUGGAUAAUAUUAAUAAAACGACGGAUGAUGAAUAGUAACUUUGGACACUUCGUUCGGAAAAAUUCUCGCCGUCGUAGAAAUUGAUGGAAAAUUUGAACACGUUCUAUCGUUACGGGAAGAGGAGAGAUUUAUGGUAAAUUUCGAAGGGAACUGUCAUUGUUCGAUCGUCGAGGGUAAAAUUUACACUGCGACAGGAGGCGGUGGUGCCUAACAAGGGACGUCCCGCGGGACGAUCGGCAAAUUGCGCGAAACUCGAGGAAGAAGGCCGGGUAAAAUUGAUUCUUGCCACGUUCCAAUUCCCCGCGGAGCCUCCUGCCCUAGCCACCGCCGCUUUCCGCGUCAAUAAACCCGCGAAAAAACAAUGGAACUGAUUUUUCGAAGCGCUAAAAAUAGUGGCGCAUCGGCCCGCCUCGAUUCCGUGGAAAUUCCAUUCUAAAUCUUCCCAAAGAAAGACUUCGUACUAUCCCCGAACUGUCGAAUCGAGAUACCAAAAGCGGGCGAAAAAUUCUUCGAGUCUCUUCGAAUGUUUUAAAAUUGAUCCAUGAAAUGUUAAGAAGACAUACAAAAGCCUUAAAAUUCGAUCUCGUCUUUCCAAUUUAAAAUGCCUAAACCUAUUUGAAAGAAGAAUGAAACCCAUUUUAUUUCUUUCAAAGACCGUCUUCUAUCUAGAUAUCCAAAAGAUUUAAAAAAUUUAAAUCCUAUUAUCAGAAGAUUGCUGAAAGAUGUUGAAAAUUUCAAUCACUCGCUCAAGAAUUGAAUUCAACUUCUACUACUUCCUACCCUCGAAACCGUUUCUUCGUCUUAAUUCACGAAUCGAAGCGAAACACGUCGUCCAUGUUUGUAAUACUAAACCAUUAUAAAUCCUUCAUUCUUGAGAGCAUUUAUCCCUACACUCUCAUAACCUAGCGCAAAACUCUAUCAACUUCCACCAUUCCUCCAAGGAAUACAUUCCAAUGAGCGAUUCACACUUCCAAAAGCAAUAUUCCCUCGAAAUAUCGAGGUAAGGAGGGAUCGAAGGUCCGCAGUAAGAAGCGAACGUCGCACGCUGCGUGUUGUCGCUGGUCCGCGUGGCUUGUAAGGAAGAAGAAGUAGAAGAGGAAGAAUGGGAAAAGACGAGCGGAGGCGAUCGAUAGCCAAACUCCUCGCUUCUACAAUAGAUAAGGAGACACGUUAUAUGCAUAGACUCUGGCUCGCUUUCGCGAUUCCUGAUACUGGAAACUGCCGCUUGCAACGAAUAGCUGAUAUCUGCACGAGAUAAGACGAAUUGCCUGGAAGCCGGUAGUAAAACGGAAAGAGGACAACCCUUUGACUAGCGGAACUGGUUGUUGUCGGAUGGGAAUCUCCUUUGGCCUUUGAGGUUGCUGGACAAGUUGGAUUCACAGGUGCUUAGAAGUGGAAAGGGAUGAAGAACUGGUUAAGGGUUUUGAAGAUUGUUUUGUUUAUGUGAGAAGCUUUAAAAGUUGGUUCAAUUGCUUAGAAAUGGUUGAUGGCCUUAAAAGUUACAUGAGAAUCUUCUUUGAUUUUCAAAGUUAUUGGAUAAAUUAGAUGGAAAGGAAUGAAGAAAUAAGAUUUUUGUUCAUGUGGUUUAUCCAUUAAUUUCUAUUAGGAAUUAUAUUAGGAAUAUAUUAAUUAUUGGUUAAAAAUUAUAUUUGAAAAUCUUCCUCUUAAGAUUAUUGGUUUAAAAAUUGGAUUCAUAAGAAUUUAAAGAUGGAAAGGAAUGAAGAAACAGUUAAGAAUUUUGGAAAUAGUUUUGUUUAAUGGUUAGAUUGCUUAGUAAAGAUAAUCUUUAAAUGUUUAUAUCUCAAGUAGUUUAGUUAUAAUUAAAUGAUUUUAAAAAUUAUAAGAAUCUUCUAUGAUUUUUGAAGUUAUUAAAUAAGUUGGAUUCAUAUAAUAUCUAAAGAAUGAAAAAAUAAUUAAGGAUUUUGGAAAUGGUUUUGAUUUUGUUGUUUAAUGAUGAGUUUUAAAAAUUUAUCUUUCAAAUGAUAUAGCUAAACAUAUUUAAAUGUUACACAUAAGAAUCUUUUUUAGGUUUUUAGGUUUUGAUUAUUGUACAAAUUAGAAUCAGAGAUAAUUAAGGAGGAUAAAAUAAUAAAGAAAUGAUUAAGACUUUUGUUAAAUAAUUAAAUUGCUUGAUAGUGAAUUUAAAAAAUCCUUCAACUAAUGAAAUCUUGUUUGGUUUUUGAGGUUAUUGGACAAGUUGGAUUCACAGGUGCCUAGAAGUGGAGAGGAAUAAAGAGAUGGUUAAGGAUUUUGGAAGUGGUUUUGUUACAAGAUUAGGUUGCUAGUAGUGAGCUUAAGGAUUUAUCCCUCAACUGGUUAAGACAUAGGUAACUUAAAUACUAUAUUUGAGAAUCUUUUUUGGCUUUUAAGAUUGUUGGAUAAAUUAAAUUCACGAUGAUAGUGAUUAAAAAGUAAAAAAAAAAAUGAUAAAAACGAAAAAAAUUUCUGUAUCGCAGAAAAAUUCAUUUCAUCAUAAUCCACAACAAAGUAUCAAUGAAAAUCCAUAUUUACGAUAAGAAAACCAACGAUUUUACUUUAUCACGAUGAAAUUGCAAUACACUCAUUUAAAGAUAUAUUCCAGUCACGAAAGCCACUUAUAUUCUCAUUCAUGAAUCAUGAAACAUUUGCCAUGUUCAAAUAAAUCAUUUUUCAAGAUAAGAAAGAGAGAUUUCUCUAUAUACAAUACGAAAGAUCAUCUUAUUUUCAUUUAUCUCAAUGUAAUUUUAUUUUAAAUCUAUCGAAUCAUUUACGAAUAAUUCAAGUUUAUAAGUCGAAAAUCAAAGCAUGAGAUACUUUUCAAUUUUAUAACCUAAAUUUCCAUGUUUACAAUAUUAAUUUACGUUCAUUGCGAUAUAAAGAAAAAUACCUUCAUUGUAUUGAUUUUAAACUAAUUAAUUAAUAAUCAAUUGAUAAAAUUAUAUAUAAAUUCAUUACUCUUCUAUAAUUAUUUUAUUCAAUAAAUAAUUACUAAAGAUAAAAAUUUAGAAAUAUUUAUUAUGUAAUAUAUUACAGUCUUAAAUUAUAAUAGAAUUUUUGAACAAUAAAACGAAUAAAUAUUCAAAGAUAAUAAAAUCCUUCAAAUUUAAUGAAUCUCAAAUAUUUUUUACAAACACUUAGUGUUUAUUUUCUGUCAUAAGAAGAAUCCUAUUACAAUCCAAGCCUAAAUAAAUCAAUUUAUUCCUUCGAUCAAAACAAUUUAAUUAUAAAACGAAUACCAUGCAAAUCUGAUCGUUUUCAAUCCUGAACCUUUCGUUUCGAUGAUCAAAAAUUACAAUUCGAACAAAAAUUUUAACAAAUCGCCUCUACCUAUCUCCUUCUCCCCCCUCCCUCCUAAUUUAUCCCCACCAUAGACACUUCUCCCGAGCGAAUAUCGCGAUACUGGAAGGAAACUGAGCGUUCGUCACGUGGGUUUCCUUCCUAGCUGUUCCUAUCGAGGAGUCGCGGGGGUUGAUGCACGCGGCCGACGUAUCGGAACGCGCCACCAACCAGAGCAAAUAUCAGCGGCCCCGGGCGCUAAUGACUGUUCUAAGUUUGCUGGAGACGAGCACGCGGACAACGAACCUUCUCCUGGCUAUAUCCACGCGACAUUUCACCGCCUAAGUGGGCUACGAGAUUCCGAUUGUCGCCUCGAAAGGGUUCUCGAAACUUCUCUCGUCUCGGCUCGAACUCGCUUCUCCAACGCUUUGACAAUUAGGGGAAAUUAGGGGAAAAAGUAGUCGAUACGUGCGCACGAUUUCGAUAAUGCAAAAUUUUGUUUAUCUCUUCAAAUUUCAUCCAUUAAUAUAUUCGACAGGCAGAUACUUUCGAAUCUAUAAUAGAUUAAACUUUCGAUCGUGAGAUUUAAAAAAUUAUUCAAUCGUAUGACAUUUCUCUCUUCACUUUAAAUAAGUCUAAUAGUUUAAAAAAAAAGAAAAAACGAUUCCAACAUCACUCGACAUCACUUGGAAAGUGAAAAAACGCUAAUAAAUAUCGAUCUCAAGUUACUCUCAUCCCUUUCCUCUACACCAUCAAACCUUUUCAAACUGUUAUCCUUACUUUCAAUCAUCACAAAAUAUCCAAAUUCCCGUGGAAGAAUACGAGGAAAGGAGGAGUGUGAUCUCUCGCUAUCAUCCCCUUCCCCUAUCACUCUCUCUUCUCUCGUUCUUUUGGCCAAAAAGAAAACCAAAGAGAUCAGGAUCGAAACGUACAUGAACAUAAUCGGUGGUCGAUGAGUGGCGCGGCGCGUCGUGUGAAGCGUAUAAAAGCAAUCUGCGAAUCUAAAUAUAAAAAAAAUCGGCGUGGACAGUUUUGAACGUGUGACGCAGCGUGCGGGCCGCCGUUACGUAACGAACCGUUGAUUAUCGGCUAUAUAUAAAUAGGCGUUUCCUUACAUAAUUAACCAUCGUUCCCGCGCCACGCAAAACGAAAGCCCGCAUUGCUGAAAAUCAGCUGACGCGUGUCAACUCGCAGAGAGAGAGAGAGAGAGAGAGAUACGGGAGAAGAUACGAGGAAAGGCGUGCGCGCUGUCUGUGCACGUAGGGACGAAGUUAUUAAGUCACGCGUCGCGGCUCCUUUCUACUUUCUUCUCUUUCGCAAAAUCUCUACCCGCGAGGAUCGAAGUAUUGUAAAGUCUUUCACAUACUGCGUUUCGCUUUUUUUUCAUCUUUUGAAUGGUCGCGUUUGAAAGUGUUUGAAGGUGUUUGAAGGCGUUUGAAGAUGUUUGAGGGUGUUUGAGGAUGCGGCUACCUUCUUAUCUUUCUUUUAGAUUGCGAGUUUUGAGUUGAUAUUUUCUAAGAUUCGUCUUCUCAUUUUUCCUUUUCGGAUCGGUUUGAGAGAUUUGGGAAUGUUUGAGAAUGUUUGCGUUUUGAUGAUAUUUUGAACGGUUUCUCUUGUUUUGCGAAUCCUGCUUCUGAGAACGAAUAUUUUUCUUUGUCGAGUUGAAGUUUUUCAGAACAACUGAGAAUCGUCUUUUUGAGAAAUUAUUUAUAUACGUCGUGGUAUUUUUGUUUUAUUUUUCGUGAGAGAGAGAGAGAGAGAGAGAGAAAGGGAAGAAGGAAGAAAAAGAAAAGAAAGAAAAUGUUUUUGGAAGAAAUGAGAUUCUCGAUCUCCUCAGGAAUAAUCGGAGGAAACGAUUACAUAAUUUUCGGGCUCUAGCUCUCACAGAUUCUAGGACAGAUUCGCCACACGUUUUCCCGUGUUUGAUGAAAGAAGAAAUAUCCGUUCUAUUUGAUGAAACGUAAAUCCACGAUGCACAAUUCGACGGAUGAAUCACAGACUCGACGAGUUUCCGCGAAAAGAGCCGGGAUCGCGAACUUUCCAAACAAAACACUCGUGUUUACGUCUCUUUGGGAGCGAUCGGAAAAACGUAGAUGGACGCACGCGAGUCCGCACGUGUUCUCUCAUCUUUUCAAUUCUCCCUCCCGAUUCUCUCUUCUUCGUCAAAUCGAAACGAGAAAAAGAUUGUAAGAUUAUCGUCGAUUAUCAUUUUCUAGAAAGAAGAAUGUAUUCGAAACGUCACAUGAAUUUUCCAUAGAAAAAAAGAAGAAAAAGAAGAAGAAGAAGAAGAAGAAGAAAAGAUAAACGACGACUCCAAAAGCACAACCUCAUUUUUCAACUCCCAAAACAACUUCGAACCACUACCGAAAACUCCAUCCAUCCACUGCCAAGCAAACACCACUCCAACAAAAAACCACCCACGAAUCCCCAAACGAUCGCACCAAAGAACCCUUUAGAAGUCUUUACAAGCGUAAAAGCAUGGCGCGUAGAACUUUAAGGACCAAAAAAGCAUCAGCUUUGCACAGCGCGGGUCUCAAGCAGCGGCUCUAAGUCGAAUCGUGAACCAGCCCUUCUCCCUUCCUAGCCAAAAAACCAAGAAAAAGCGGAUUCAACUCGAAACUCGAAAUCUUUACAAUUUCGAAGCACUGUUUAUUGUUAAUUAACUCCUUAACUUAGUAACUCCAAUCUUUGCAAAAAAAAACAAAACAAAACAAAAAACAAA